RNAcentral lists this ribosomal RNA (253 nucleotides) under uncultured bacterium. RNAcentral's name for it is "partial 16S ribosomal RNA". It matches the Rfam family "Bacterial small subunit ribosomal RNA", at positions 524 to 776 of the family's 1533-position model. The record is from RNAcentral. RNAcentral also lists the same sequence under 1 other name.
UACGGAGGAUCCAAGCGUUAUCCGGAUUUAUUGGGUUUAAAGGGUGCGUAGGCGGCCUAUUAAGUCAGGGGUGAAAGACGGUGGCUCAACCAUCGCAGUGCCUUUGAUACUGAUGGGCUUGAAUGCAGCUGAGGUAGGCGGAAUGUGACAAGUAGCGGUGAAAUGCAUAGAUAUGUCACAGAACACCGAUUGCGAAGGCAGCUUACUAAAGUGCAAUUGACGCUGAGGCACGAAAGCGUGGGGAUCAAACAGG